RNAcentral lists this ribosomal RNA (253 nucleotides) under uncultured bacterium. RNAcentral describes it as "partial 16S ribosomal RNA". It matches the Rfam family "Bacterial small subunit ribosomal RNA", at positions 524 to 776 of the family's 1533-position model. The record is from RNAcentral.
UACGUAGGGUGCAACCGUUAAUCGGAAUUACUGGGCGUAAAGCGUGCGCAGGCGGCUUUGCAAGUCAGAUGUGAAAUCCCCGGGCUUAACCUGGGAACUGCAUUUGUGACUGCAUGGCUGGAGUGCGGCAGAGGGGGAUGGAAUUCCGCGUGUAGCAGUGAAAUGCGUAGAUAUGCGGAGGAACACCGAUGGCGAAGGCAAUCCCCUGGGCCUGCACUGACGCUCAUGCACGAAAGCGUGGGGAGCAAACAGG